GCGACCUCAGGUCAGGCGGGGCCACCCGCUGAUUUUUAANAAUAAA
Molecule: ribosomal RNA, 46 nt
Filed under: Astrocaryum urostachys
Lineage: Eukaryota; Viridiplantae; Streptophyta; Magnoliopsida; Arecales; Arecaceae
Description: partial 26S ribosomal RNA
Source: RNAcentral